Molecule: non-coding RNA, 162 nt
Filed under: uncultured Eisenbergiella sp.
Lineage: Bacteria; Bacillati; Bacillota; Clostridia; Lachnospirales; Lachnospiraceae
Source: RNAcentral
ACGCGAGGGGAAUCUGAAGGAAGGUGGCGGCAAACCUCUGGUCUGACGGACAGAAAUCACAUCAGGCUCUGGUUGAGGAUAAGGUCGCUAAACAGACCGAAGUCCAAUUACUACUCGGAAUCAACUAUAGUAAAUGUGGCAGAUAUGUGGAGAGAAAGUAAC